This 2238-nucleotide long non-coding RNA is filed under the name Mus caroli (Ryukyu mouse). RNAcentral describes it as "lncRNA (MGP_CAROLIEiJ_G0004980.1)". The record is from RNAcentral. Lineage: Eukaryota; Metazoa; Chordata; Mammalia; Rodentia; Muridae.
AUUCAGGACAUUCUGCAGCUGCAGUUUGGAGUAAAAUUGUGCUUCUGGGACAGGUGGUCCAAGCUACGUUUGCAGAAAUGCUUAUCUAUCGUUCUCUUCAUUUUAAACUCCGAGGAAGCAAGAAACAUGGCCGCUAUAAAGACAGAUUUCAACAGGCCUUCUAAAUCCCCGGGACCUCUCCAAGGGCAAGGCAGCUAAUCAGCGCCUGAGAUGACAGAUAGGAUGUCGCGAUGAAGGCCCUGGAUUUUACAGUGACUGCAUAAUGUGUGAUGUUGGCCUUCUCUCUGUGUGUCCAAAUCCAACUCUAUCUCAAUGCACAGUUAGGUCCUAUUUUCUCUGAGAAGCCUGGCCUGAUGGAUUUCACAGCUCAUAGGACUAGUAAAAUGCUUUCACUAACUGCGUCCCAGCUUCUUUGUAAAAAAUUACUCUUGUUAUUAUUAUUUGUAGUAUUAGAGAUUUAACCCACACAUGUGCAGUAGGCAAGCAGUAUGUCAUGUCUAGUGUUUGUCUAAUGUACUUUGGCACUUGAGCUAGCCAGCCUGUUGGAGUAUACUGUGUGAACAUGCAUCUUGGUAUAUUCAACUAUUCAUUCUGUACUGGCAGAGAGCUAAUGGCCCAUCCCUGGUCUUACAUUUUAUAAAUCAUUGUCACAUGUCUAAAGCAAACUAGAAAUUGUAUCUUAUUGGCUUUAAUAGAGACCUGACAGCCAAUAGCUGAGUAGGAGAUGGAAGCCAGAACUCUGGGCAGAGGUAAGGACUCUGAGAGAAGAACUGAGAAGCAGAAGAUUCUCCAGUGAACACAGAAGUGGGCAGAUGGACUAGAACUAAGCAAAAGAAGACUUGACCACAUGGCUGGAUGUGGUGCCAGGAUGAAUUGGAUUAGAGUAGUUGGGAAACAACCAGGCAAAAGGCCGAAAGUUUAAAAUAUUAAUAAACCUCUGUGUCAUUAUUUAUAUCACUGACAGUUCCAAGAUAGUCCUGCUAUACCAGCUUUUGUAGGCAGUUUGUUGAAAAAAGUAGUAGAUGUAAACUACACCCUCCAUCAUUAACCAAAUCAACAAAGAAUAAUGCCAGUUCAUGUCAUGGUCUCCAGGAAGGAAUAAACACGGCUCCCUGCCCAAAGUUCAAAUUAUUAUUUGAAUUUUUCCCUGAACCUUGUUUUCCUUGGAGAAGGAGAAUCUUUCUAGGAGUAGCACAUGAAACAUGUAAAGAACAGCCUUGGGCACCUGCCUUUCAGGAUUGCUUUCUGCUUUAAGAAAGUCAAGAGAGGAAUCCCAAUACACAUUGGGACUGUCUUUGCCUGUUCUGUAUUUUGAAGAAGCCCCAGAAAUGUCCUUGCUGAUUGUCUUCUUGAAUCAAACAGGCCUUGACCCAAUAAGGUCCUGGAGCCCUAAUGUCCCACUUAUGAUCCUGUAGCCCUAAGUGAAAAAGAAACCAUCGCCAAGAGAGAGCUUUGCCAAACGAUGACCAAAUAUGGUGAUCACCUAAUCUCUUGUCCCUAAUCAAAAUAUUCCUGCCUAGAUCUCUUCUGAGAUUUUCCAUAGCCAGAGCAGACCAGAGUCUACUGCUGGCAUUCAUUGCUGCAGAAAAGCACUUCUUUCAGUCUCCUUGGCAAUUUUAUAGAUGCUGAAGAGGGUUGAGUAAUAAAAAACAAAUAUUCCCCAUGCCUCAGAUGUCCAAGUUGUCCUUCGGGUUGAUGGCGAUCAUUUAUAACAUUGCCUGUUUACUCUACAUGUGCACAUAAUUUACAUGAUCUGACUGCAGAGUACCUCACAAUUUCUACAUUUUCAGAUGAGCUUGAAGAACUCGUGAAAUUUUGGAUAGGCUACCAGCAUAUGCUAUAGAGUAUUUUGUCCCUAAUGUCUGCAUGAAUAUAGUUUACCUACUGAAAUAGGUGCUAAAUAUAGAUCUGCACACAGAUUUUCUUAUGAGCAAAGCACUUAGCUAAAAAGAAGAAAUCUGUGUGAAUGAGGAAAGGCCUAAAUUGACAUCUAGCCAGGCACAGUCAUCCUUUCUCAGGUAGCCAAGUCAGGCCUGCCUCUAGCUAAAUGUUUCCCUGGAGAGAACUUACCUUCUAAUGGGAUAGGAAGAUAUCAGUCAGAAUCUAGGACUGAAAACACAAAGAUAAAAAUGAAUCUUGAAUAAAUUUAGAUGAGCCGUUGUCAUUCGGCUGUUAGGUACAGGUUGCAUUAAUAUGGCAACGGCUGGAGUUGAACAAUAAACUAUUCACUGUAUGACG